Cynara cardunculus var. scolymus (artichoke) is the source of this 1702-nucleotide long non-coding RNA. RefSeq lists it as uncharacterized. The record is from RefSeq and is a predicted model, not a curated record. Lineage: Eukaryota; Viridiplantae; Streptophyta; Magnoliopsida; Asterales; Asteraceae. The transcript has 3 exons.
UCAACACCAUUCGAUGUGAUGCUGUGCACAUCAUACGCGAAAGACCAUGCAUUGCUAGUUGGUCAAUGGACUUUUUAAGAAGACGGUAAUCAAUAGAAAUUUCUACCGGUAGUUUCGGGAUUGGCAAUGUUGUAGAUUCAUUGGUUGAUGCACAACGUGAAGAUGGAUCAAGAGAGAACGAAGAAAUUGACAUUAAGAGAUACUUGGAUGAAGUCGAACACACUUUCAGUAUGUUGAAGACAUUGAAGAGUGAUUUCGAUGGGAUUCUAAAGAAAGGGAGGACUAGAUACCCCGCAUCUGUAGAGUCUGAUGUUUGGCAAAAAAAAAGUUGAUAGAUUUGGUAGUAAAUGACAAAAUGGACCGUGAUACCUCAAUGAACAUGUCAGUUGCCAAAAGUUGUGGAACAAAACAAGCAUCAACUAGUGAUCCAUGACAAGGUGUUAUGGAUGGCGCACAAGAGAUUGUUGAGACACCGACACAAUUCUUCUCAAAUCCAGAAACAAUUAAGGGGGUUGACAAAAUAAUUAAAGUAUAUGAGAAGUUACAGAUGCCGGAUUUUAGUUUAGGUCUCACUCAAGAGUUUGAAGAAGUUGUUGAUCCGAAGGAAAAUGCUCCUAACAGAGAUGACAAUGAUGUGGUUCCUAAUGUGAAACCAAUAAGUGAGAUAGAUAUACACCGGUCCCAUUGGUCGAAGAGCUUCAAAGGCGGGAGGAAAAAUAUGUUCACCGUAUAUGAAUAGAAAAGUGGACGCACACCGACCUAACACAAAAGUUGAGUUAAUCCUUUCUAACCUAAUAUUCGCUAUGGAAGGCUUUUAGAUGGACUCGAUAUACUUAACAUCGGAGGGGUCAAUAUGCACCACGUUAUAUUUUCGAAAGCAUGGUUGAUGAUACUUUCAUAUUUCGGGGGUGUGAUCGACAUAUGGACAACAAUGUUGAACAAUAAUGAACAAUACAGAAGCAAGUCUUCCCCUCGAAGGUAUGUGAUAUUAAUAUUUGAUCACUUAAUAUAAAUUUCUUUGUUAGAGUCACUGAUUUAACAUUAUCACUUAACAAAAAAGACGGACGACAUGCUACCACUAAAAUUGAGCUACGGAAGCAUGUAUACUAUGUUUGAAACCAGCUUGGAGGCCGCAAUGAAAAACCAUAAGGAGCUAGCAACCUUAAGGAAUGUAGAUAUGGUAUAUUUUCUUUAUAAUUAUACGAACUAUACAAAUAUUAAAUAAGGUGCGACAUAAAUGGUUGAAAUAUACUAAUGGCGUUCAUUUGCAUAUUUUUUUUCCCGAUCCGAAGGCGAAGUCACUUAUACCUAAUUGUGUUCAACCUGAAAAAUACGGGCUUCUUAAUAAUCGAUAACACAAACAGAGGUUGACAUAGGAAGCAAGUAUGGGGAACUACCACCACAAUUGGUAAGCGUUUACGAACUUUAUCACAUAUGAUAAACUAAAAAUAUUUAAAUAUGCAAUUACUAAAUAACUAAUCACAAUACAAAUUUGAAACGUAGCACAAGGCGCUUAAUGGCUACUUGAAAUCAGUGAGACACCCCAAAGAAAAAAUCAUGGCUAAUGUCACUGCCAAUGUCUGCAACCUGAAACGGAGUACGGUAGGAAAUGAUGUUGAUUGCGGAAUCUUCGUAAUGCGGCACAUGGAGCAUUAUAUGGGACAAGUGAUAAACCGUUGGGAUUGUGGUUUCUUUCAAGAGG